Pan troglodytes (chimpanzee) is the source of this 1336-nucleotide long non-coding RNA. RefSeq lists it as uncharacterized. Lineage: Eukaryota; Metazoa; Chordata; Mammalia; Primates; Hominidae. The transcript has 2 exons. The record is from RefSeq and is a predicted model, not a curated record.
AAUAAAGCAUUUGAGUAGGCAGCAAAGCCAGUCAGAACUGUUUAUUUAUAGCUGUGGAUUUUCAAUGCUGUAUAAAUUAGAAAUCGUUGCUGAAUGAGGCCCGCGCCCACUCAUACACGCAGGGCCGCUAUCUGUGAGUCCUUUCACAGGGUUUGACUGUACACAGUCUAAAAUGGGAGAAAAUGACAUGCUCCGAGUCAAAUGACGGAGUCACAGCUAAACGGCAAAGCAGAAAACCAGCAAUUAUUUUUCCUCAGCACAAUAUGGGGAGUACGACAGGUACAAUUAUCCAAUAUUAUUUAACAGUACCGGUUUGCGGUGUAGGGAGAAAAAGGUUUCCGUGUCUUGGAGAGGAAAAAAAGAGAAAGAACAUGCCUUGCAGCUCCUGUUUCUAUGGAUUAAGCUGGGUUAUGUACAUGGAAAUUGGCCAGGAUUCCAGAAGGGGAAGGGAGAACCGCCUGGCUCCCUGGCCCUUCCUCCCAGGAGGCUCUUGAGGAGCGGCACCACAGGGGGCUUCUGAGCAAAGGUGCCCCCAGCCUUGGGAUACUGUGGCCUGAACACCCUCUUCCCCAGGCAAUGGCUCCAGACUCAUCCUGCCAUCAUGACCUUUUAUUGCCGUCACAUAUCACCAAACUAAGAGGAAGAGGCCAAAAGAACUGCUGGACACCAAUUCAGAGUUUUCCUACUCAGCAAUGUGGAUUUCCAUGUAAUCCUCAAAUCAAGGGGAAGGAAAGAACCAUUCCAAAAUGCCCUGCCAAUUCACAGAGGAACAUAUCGAAGUCCACUUGGGAACCAUUUUAGACCCCAAGCAUGGAAGACAGGGAUUGUUUGCAUGACUAUAUACACAAUGACAAAGGGAAACUUACCCAUUCAUUCUAGGGCUUAACGAAAAUGCCGCGGCUGCAUGAAUCGUGGUUCUGUGGUCGCUUAUUGGGGAUGGGAUUGAAAGUAUAACUUUAAGGGGGAUCCCCAAGAUGACAGCCAAGAAGAUGCUAAGCUCUUUGUGCAUGAGGUGCUUGUGAGAUAGAGACCAAAGGAUAACCAGCUGCUCUUCCCUGGUUGGUGAGUGGAGGUGCCCGAGAGGGCACUCUUUGGUGUUGACUUAUUGCGUCUCACCUUGUCCCUUCCUAAACUCAACUCUUGCCAUUUCACUGUAUCCCUCACACAGUCACACUUGAAAGGCCCUCCAAGCACCAGUGGCCUUUGUCCCUAGCACAGAAAUCAUCACCCUAGACUGCUUACCUAGCAUCUAAAUAAUCCCAAUUCACAUUUAGCUAAAAUUUCACUAUUACUAAAUUUAGUUAUAUUUACAAUAUAAAUUUAUUUUAGUUACAAU